This 1047-nucleotide ribosomal RNA is filed under the name uncultured bacterium. RNAcentral's name for it is "bacterial SSU rRNA". It matches the Rfam family "Bacterial small subunit ribosomal RNA", at positions 8 to 1064 of the family's 1533-position model. The record is from RNAcentral.
AGAGUUUGAUCCUGGCUCAGGACGAACGCUGGCGGUGCGCCUUAUGCAUGCAAGUCGAGCGAAGCUUUUCAGUAGUUUACUACAGAAAAUGACUGAGCGGCGAACGGGUGAGUAACGCGUGAGCAACCUACCUUAGUUACUGGGAUAGCCCGAGGAAACUCGGAUUAAUACCGGAUAUUCUUAUUUAAUCACAUGAUUUUUUAAGGAAAGGUCAGCCGAACUAAGAUGGGCUCGCGUUCUAUCAGCUAGUUGGUAGGGUAAUGGCCUACCAAGGCUACGACGGAUAGCUGGUCUGAGAGGACGAUCAGCCACACUGGGACUGAGACACGGCCCAGACUCCUACGGGAGGCUGCAGCAGGGAAUAUUGCGCAAUGAGCGAAAGCUUGACGCAGCGACACCGCGUGUGGGAUGACGGAUCUAGGUUUGUAAACCACUUUCAGGAGGGAAGAAAAUGACGGUACCUCCACAAGAAGCCCCGGCCAACUACGUGCCAGCAGCCGCGGUAAUACGGAGGGGGUUAGCGUUGUUCGGAAUUACUGGGCGUAAAGCGCACGUAGGCGGACUGGAAAGUUAGAGGUGAAAUCCCGGGGCUCAACCCCGGAACUGCCUUUAAAACUAUCAGUCUAGAGUUCGAGAGAGGUGAGUGGAAUUCCGAGUGUAGAGGUGAAAUUCGUAGAUAUUCGGAGGAACACCAGUGGCGAAGGCGGCUCACUGGCUCGAUACUGACGCUGAGGUGCGAAAGUGUGGGGAGCAAACAGGAUUAGAUACCCUGGUAGUCCACACCGUAAACGCUGUCUACUAGCUGUUUGUGACUUUAAGUCGUGAGUAGCGAAGCUAACGCGCUAAGUAGACCGCCUGGGGAGUACGGCCGCAAGGUUAAAACUCAAAUGAAUUGACGGGGGCCCGCACAAGCGGUGGAGCAUGUGGUUUAAUUCGAUGCAACGCGAAGAACCUUACCUACACUUGACAUGCAGAGAACUUUCUAGAGAUAGAUUGGUGCCUUCGGGAACUCUGACACAGGUGCUGCAUGGCUGUCGUCAGCUCGUG